RNAcentral lists this long non-coding RNA (428 nucleotides) under Anser cygnoides (Swan goose). RNAcentral's name for it is "lncRNA (ENSACDG00005002961.1)". Lineage: Eukaryota; Metazoa; Chordata; Aves; Anseriformes; Anatidae. The record is from RNAcentral.
AUGAUGCAAAACUGGAUCCCUAACAUCACAAGGUGGUUCUUUGGACUAUCACAAAAAGUAAAAUUAGAAAAUUACAAAAAGCAAAAGAAAAAUACCCCACUUCUUCUAAACUCAAGGGAUAUUAGCAAUCAUAGACAAGCCCUACUUAAGAACUGGAGACCCAGACCUAUCCUCAGUUUAUUAAAUCCACUCAGAACAUCUUUGCUACGACCUUUUCAUUUCAGGUACUUUAAAGGUAAUUGUGUUUUGGAAAAUUCAGAAGAUAUUGUACAUUUCAGAUUAGACUAAUAUCAUACAUAAAAUGACCCUGUCAAGAAACAAUACACAAGAGUACUUGAAAAAGGUCCGUGAGAAUUUUUUUGAAACAACGGGUCAUUCUUUAGAUUUCCUUCAAUAAAUACUAAGGGGUCCAAUUUAAAAGUCUGUGA